RNAcentral lists this ribosomal RNA (253 nucleotides) under uncultured bacterium. RNAcentral describes it as "partial 16S ribosomal RNA". It matches the Rfam family "Bacterial small subunit ribosomal RNA", at positions 524 to 776 of the family's 1533-position model. The record is from RNAcentral.
UACGUAGGGGGCUAGCGUUGUCCGGAUUUAUUGGGCGUAAAGAGCGUGUAGGCGGCCAGGUAGGUCUGGUGUGAAAACUCGAGGCUUAACCUCGAGAUGUCAUCGGAAACCAUCUGGCUAGAGUCCGGAAGAGGAGAGUGGAAUUCCUGGUGUAGCGGUGGAAUGCGCAGAUAUCAGGAGGAACACCAACGGCGAAGGCAGCUCGCUGGGACGGUACUGACACUGAGGCGCGAAAGCGUGGGGAGCGAACAGG